UGAUGAAUUGUCCAUCUCUGUACACUGUAACCAUGUCAAGGAGCUGAAUAUGACAUAUGUGCCAAGAUGUCAUGUCAAAGUCAGUGUGGGAAAACCAGUGGUCAACAUUUCCACAAUUUCCUGGUUCUUCGAUCAUGGAUUUAUCAAUGUUUGGAGCUACGAGCUGCAGUGGAAACAACACAACCAGUUAUGGAGCGAUGCUUCAAAGAAUCAAGACCAUCAGGAUAAUGGAGAGUUCAAAGUGGACCUGCCACAACAAAAUUUGAUCAGGGGUGAGAAGUAUGAGGCACGUGUUCGAAUGAAGAGCAAUGAAGAAGGAUUUCUGGGAACCUGGAGUGACUGGAGUCCAACAGUGUCAUGGGUGUCACCAGUUGGGAGAUCAGGACAACCAACAGCAUUUGCUGUGAGUUUUUGGGAAAUGACUGUGGUGGGCGUGGCAGUGGUUGUCUUAAUGCUGAUCGUGGUUCUCCAUAGGAAGGACAAAACCAUCUGGGUUUACCUGGUAAAGAAGAUUCAGGGAGCACCUGUACCAAACCCAGCAAAUUCCUUUCUACAAAAGAGUUGGCUGAAUCCACCUUUUCCCACUGAGUCCUUUCUGGCCUUCCUGCAGCCAGAGGUCGUGUCAGUGGAGGUUACUUCACCAGUAGACGCUGUCACCUGCUGCAGACUGAACACAGACAUGGGAGAGCGACACUUUUCCAACCCCACGUACUCCAUGCUUUACGCUCUGUCUCCCACUUCCUCUAACGCUGAUGGGAACCUGGAUCCAUGUCCGUCAGACUCACCGUACGGACCAGUCGUCAGCAAAGACCAGGAACAAAGCCCAGCGUGUGACGGCACUGAAGUGGAGACUUUGGAGUUGCAUUCCAAAGAGUCAGGACAGAUGAUUUUGGUUCUUGACAAAGCCCCGAGGCCACGACUUGAGCUUCUCCGACUCCAAAGCCUGGACUCAGGUGUGUGCACCAGUGAACAGGUGAGUGAGGAGAGCAUGGAGGCCGACAGCAUCGACCAGCAGCUACAAACUAAAGCCCGUUCCGACUCGUUGCUCAGUGCAGCUUGUGUUGGCACACGGUCCAUUCAGCUGUAUUAUGACUAUGAGUCGACUGAGAAGCAGGAGGACCAAAGUCUGACGUUCCCUCAUCAGGAUUUAGACAAACAGGAGGAUGAAUCUGCAGAAUCAGCACAUCUUCUGCUACCUCAUCCUUCUACUUCAGGACAUUUUUCUUUGCUGACUUUGUUACACACGCCAUCCUGUUCUACAGGUUUGGCUCCAUCUCUGCAAGCGUUUGCUCUGAUGUCAUCUGUGGGGUCCGUAGAACCGGCUGGUGACGGUUACAUGCCUGUGAAACAGGAACACUCAUGAGAACAGAAGGGAAACCAACUUUAAAAGGGCAGUAUUAUGGAAAAAAUCACUUUAUAAUGGCUUUGCUACAGUGAUAUACAUUCCUUUAGCCUCAUUCAGAGGGUCACAGUAGAAAACGUUCUGUUUUUUCCUCCCUUGUUAUUCCACAUUUUGUAAAAAGUCAGCUCCAAAUGGGCCAGUUGGAUUUUUUCUCUUAUAAAGUGAGCUGUCCAAUAAAAGGUGAUGUGUGAACA
Molecule: long non-coding RNA, 1596 nt
Filed under: Gouania willdenowi (blunt-snouted clingfish)
Lineage: Eukaryota; Metazoa; Chordata; Actinopteri; Blenniiformes; Gobiesocidae
Description: lncRNA (ENSGWIG00000000104.1)
Source: RNAcentral